RNAcentral lists this ribosomal RNA (250 nucleotides) under uncultured bacterium. Its description in RNAcentral is "partial 16S ribosomal RNA". It matches the Rfam family "Bacterial small subunit ribosomal RNA", at positions 355 to 597 of the family's 1533-position model. The record is from RNAcentral.
UGGGGAAUAUUGGACAAUGGGCGCAAGCCUGAUCCAGCCAUGCCGCGUGUGUGAAGAAGGUCUUCGGAUUGUAAAGCACUUUAAGUUGGGAGGAAGGUCAGUAGCUUAAUACGUUGCUGAUUUGACGUUACCGACAGAAUAAGCACCGGCUAACUCUGUGCCAGCAGCCGCGGUAAUACAGAGGGUGCAAGCGUUAAUCGGAAUUACUGGGCGUAAAGCGCGCGUAGGUGGUUUUGUAAGUUGGAGGUGA